This 1095-nucleotide ribosomal RNA is filed under the name Triticum aestivum (bread wheat). Its description in RNAcentral is "partial small subunit ribosomal RNA". Lineage: Eukaryota; Viridiplantae; Streptophyta; Magnoliopsida; Poales; Poaceae. The record is from RNAcentral.
AUGGCCAUGGCCACCCUGGAAAGCUACCCAGUCGUCCGCGGCUCGCACCUCGUGCACCCCCAUGUGCCCCAUAGUUUGCAUGUGCAGAGCCGAACCCAGUGCCGCUCCUCAUCGCCAGUCGGGCUCGCUUUGGAAAGAGGCAAUCUAGGGUUCCCAUCUAUCCCCUGGCGGCGACUGCAGGAGUUCCAACUCUACCAUCAAAAUCUACCAAAAUCUCACGAGCAUACACCGGCGGCAUCCGCCGCCGCGGGAGCCGACGGCGGAAACAUGGGACAUGAAGAGAUCGAUGCUAAUCUAGAGGACAAAUUCCAGGGGAUGAAUCUCCAUGGUGAGGAAGAGGAGGAGUUGGACCUGGCUGGGGAAAUUGAGAGCCUAAUCAAGGAAACACAAUGGAUAGCUGUCUUUAGGGUUCAUACCCAAAGACCCUUCAACCAUGUUGCUCUAUUUAAGACGUUGAGGAACGCGUGGACGGCGGCGCAAGGUGUGACUUUCAAGCCAAUGCGUGAAAACCUAUUCCUGGCACAACUGAUCUGCUUUGGUGAUUCAAACAAAGAGAGUAAGAAGUACCAUGUGGAGUAUGAAAAGCUACCAGACUUCUGUGAUUUUUGUGGCAUGAUCGGACAUGUGGUAAUAGAAUGUGGUGAUGGAACCCAUAGGGUGGAAGACUAUGAAUGGGGUGACUGGCUAAUGGUGAACUUUGAUGCUUCGAUAGGUGUGGCUGGGUAUGGUAGGGGAGGCGGCCGGGGAGGAGGCCACGGGGGUGACAUGUUUAACAGAGGAAGAGGCUUCGGUGAUGGCAGAAGCACGACAUCAAGUGGUGCUAGAAGGGGAAAUUUUGGAGAUCCAAAUCCUCAACAAAUUGCUAACAUGGAUAUGGACAGGGGGAAUGAUAUUCACAGAAAUGCUAUUGUGUCGAUGGCUAGGAAACGUCUCAUUAAUCAGGAUGGGAGUGUUAAUAGUGUGGUUAACCCAUCUGUGGCACCCCCACCAGGCUUUGUGACCGAUCAAGUCCUCCUGACCGAGAACACAGGGGGAGAAAAGAUUGAUAAAUCACUCAUGAGCACCCCGCAAGAGAUACACAUAGUAAAAGGCUGA